This 1353-nucleotide ribosomal RNA is filed under the name Triticum aestivum (bread wheat). RNAcentral's name for it is "partial small subunit ribosomal RNA". The record is from RNAcentral. Lineage: Eukaryota; Viridiplantae; Streptophyta; Magnoliopsida; Poales; Poaceae.
AUGAACGUUAGUGAUGUUCUCAUCUACAUGGCCAUCAUCGGCAACGGUGAUGACAUCUAUGUCACAUAUAGCCUCUCUGAUGGCGCCCCACCCACAAGGACAGUGUUGACCUAUUCUGGUCAGUAUCACAUUGCGAUCUGGAGUAGCAGGUUGUCGGUGUGGGUUGUCGUUUCGAUGUGGUCUGCUGAAUGCAAUCGCUAUGGUCAUUGUGGCCCAUAUGGCUACUGCGACAAGACAGUCGUGCCUAUCCCAACUUGCAAGUGCCUAGAUGGCUUCGAGCCAGCAAACAAGGAGGAGUGGACUAGUGGCAAGUUCUUGGCGGGGUGCCGGCGGAAGGAGCUGUUGCACGGGUGCACAAGUAAUUACUUGGCCAUGUUGGGGAUGAAGUCUCCAGAUAAAUUUGCGCUUGUCGGAGGGGGCAGAAGUACGUCUGAGGAGUGUUUGGCGGAGUGCAACCGCAACUGCUCCUGUGUGGGGUAUGUGCAUCGCAACGUCAGUAGUGGCAGUUUCGGAGGAGCCGCGACAAUGUGCUUGUUAUGGGCUGGGGAUUUGAUUGACACUGGAAAAUUACGCGAGCCUGGUGGAGAGACGCUCUAUCUACGACUAGCAGGUAAAAGGCGAAAAAGUAAUGCAGUUAGGAUUAUGCUGCCAGUUCUAAUCAGUAGUUUUUUCGCAGUCAUAUGCAUCUCUCUUGCAUGGUUAAAGUGCAAAGGCAAGAACAAAAAUUGCAGAAGGCACAAGAAUAUAAGAUUGGAUGGUAUGAGUACCUCCGAAGAACUUGGUAGAGAUGAGGCUCCUCAUGAUCAAGAUUUUCCAUUCGUAAGAUUAGAGGAAAUUUUUCUUGUGACCCACAAUUUCUCUGAAGCAUGUAAUAUUGGACAAGGAGGAUUUGGCAAAGUAUACAAGGGACUAUUAGGUGGUCAAGAAGUCGCAAUCAAGAGGCUAAGUAGAGAUUCUCAACAAGGAACAAAAGAAUUCAGGAACGAAGUAAUUCUAAUUGCAAAAUUGCAACAUAGAAACUUGGUUCGACUUCUUGGGUGUUGUGAUGAAGGAGGUGAAAAGCUCUUGAUAUAUGAGUAUCUUCCUAACAAGAGCUUGGAUGCUACCCUUUUUGAUGACUCAAGAAAAUUGUUGUUGGAUUGGGAAAAACGGUUUAGUAUAAUCAAAGGGGUUGCAAGGGGGCUUCUAUAUCUUCAUGAAGAUUCAAGGUUCACCAUAAUUCAUAGGGACCUAAAAGCUGGAAAUGUUUUGCUAGAUGCAUACAUGAAACCCAAGAUAGCUGACUUUGGUAUGGCAAGGAUCAUUGGUGAUAACCAGCAAAAUGAAAAUACCCAACGUGUAGUUGGAACAUAG